This is a long non-coding RNA of Anguilla anguilla (European eel), 665 nucleotides long. RefSeq lists it as uncharacterized. The transcript has 2 exons. The record is from RefSeq and is a predicted model, not a curated record. Lineage: Eukaryota; Metazoa; Chordata; Actinopteri; Anguilliformes; Anguillidae.
GUUAAAGUGAGUAAAAACUGCAUGCAGUUGAGUCUGGAGGACAAGAUCUGACAGGUAGAACAUCUGGAGAGGACAGGAUCUGACAGGUAGAACAUCUGGAAAGGACAGGAUCUGACAGAGAACAUCUGGAGAGGACAGGAUCUGGCAGGUAGAACAUCUGGAGAGGACAGGAUCUGAGAAAUAGAACAUCUGGAGAGACAGGAUCUGACAGAUAGAAGAUCUGGGUGGACAGGAUCUGACAGUUAGAACAUCUGGGUGGACAGGAUCUGAUUGAACGUCUGGAGAGGAUAGGAUCUGACAAGUAGAACAUCUGGAGAGGACAGGAUAUGACAGGUAGAACAUCUGGAGAGGACAGGAUCUGACAGGUAGAACAGCUGGAGAGGACAGGAUCUGACAGGUAGAACAUCUGGAGAGGACAGGAUCUAAUUGAACAUCUGGAGAGAAGAAUAAUGCUAGCGUUCAGCUCCACAGGCUGUUUGUAUAUCCGAGUGUGUGGAGCGUCUGAUGAGGGCGAUGGUUCAAACCCAAACCAGUACUGAGAAUUCAAAGGGUGGGGCCUAUCAUGUACAGAUAUUAUUGGCUAAAGUGGGGAAAGGGAGUGUGAUUUUAGGAGCAUUCAGGAGAAUUUAGAAAGGAAGGAUAGCAUUUACAAGCCUCUCUACGGU